This 755-nucleotide long non-coding RNA is filed under the name Gallus gallus (chicken). Lineage: Eukaryota; Metazoa; Chordata; Aves; Galliformes; Phasianidae. The record is from RNAcentral.
CAGGAAAGUAAGUACUUUUGCCUGUGCUGCAUCUGCCCCUCUGACCCGGGAGCGCAUCAAGCCUUCUCGACGAUCAUUCCGAAGAACCCGCACUUUUUCAAUUUUUCCCAACAGAGCACCAUCAUCAGGAUCAUUACUGUAGUCAUCCACUAGUAUGAUUUCCUUAAUAAGAUGUGAUGGGCUUUUUUUAAGGACACUGACAACCGUUCGAAGCAAAGCAGAUCUUGCCUCAUUAUGAAAGGUGAUUACCACACUAGUGGCUGGCAAGUCUAUCCUCCAUUGUUUCCGUUGACACUGAUCAUGCCUCGUGUCAGGAAUGUUUCGGUCCAUUCGUAGUUUGUCACUUUCUACCUGAUUGAACUUAUUGCGAGCAUAUGGAUCCUGACCAGAUCGCACCAUGGUAGCGCUAACAUAAGCAUCUUGAUCAAAGUCUUGCCACCGAACUUUGCCUGGGGGUAAUGUCUCCACACUUUGUGCUUUGUCCUCCCCAUCACUGACAUGCAUGUCUUUCCUUUUGGCAUCAAUGUCGUUUGGGUCCUCCUUCCUGCCGCCUCCGCCGCCGGCCAGCGCGGCGCUGCCGCCCGAGUACAUGUAGUAAGCGAUGCCCAGCACCCAGAGGAAGGCGAAGCAGAGGAGCAGCCGGGACCUGCGCCGCAUCGUCCCCCGCGCCGCCGCCAGGCCACCAGGAAACGGCCAGCAGCAGCAGCAGCAGCAGCCGCCGCGCCCGCCGCCGCCGCCGCGCAGGGUCAGGGGGC